CAGAAAAUUUGAAUUCACCAUUCCGUCGCCAUCCCCUUGCCCUCCCUUACUGUCCUUGUGGCCAUCCCAUCACUGAACACCAUCACAAAUCCUUUCGUUGCCAAACAUCGAAACCAUCCCGUAGCACACUACCCUCAUCCACAAGUGCCUUCCAUCGUGGUGGCAGAGCUUCUACCCUCCUCUAGUGCCUUCUGUCGCCGAACAUUGGCUCCCUCUUCAUUGUUUCUUUAUUUAUGGUAACCUCCACCAGUUUCUUCCAUUCGAUGUGUUAUUUCUUCUCUCCACAUGUACAGGACCUUAAUAAUGUUAUAUUAAUGAAAGCCAUCAAACGUAAGUCGUCGCUUUGCAUAUAUUUUUAACACGGCAACAUAAGAACACAUAAAAAUUCUUGUUUGAAAAUUUCCUAUAUAGCCUAAGUCAAGAGUCUGAUUUAAUUGUAUUGCAGCUUUUUUCUCCCCUAAAAAUCAGAUUAGGGGGGAACCUUACAAGGCAAAGUCAUAUACAACACAUAAAGCAAUCCUCCACAAUGCAACUCAUUUGUAAAAAACAACUCUGAGUUGUUAGGGUUCCUAUAUGUGCCCAUGUUUUACAAAACACAUUCAUUCUUACAAAUCUGGUCAUAUCAAAAUAUUGGGAAACAUGCUGAAGGUUUCACAGUGGGAAUACCGAAUAUAUCUAUGAAUAUAUAUAUAUAUAUAUAUAUAUAUAUAUAUAUAUAAGUGGGUGUAUGCAUAGAGAACUUGUGAAUGGGAAAGAAGCUUCCCAAAAAGUCACCAUUGAGGUGGGCUUGUACAAUGAUCAUGUCAACGGCUCUAGCAGCCACAAAAACAACCUCAAAUUAUGUCUCCAAUGUUUCUGCUAGCUGCAGAAUUUGGUACCACAACUGACUGUAAUGAUAUUGAAAAUUUAAUCCAAAUGCAUAUUUAGUUUAGUUUUAUUAUGCAUAUUUUGUUCAACUAGAUUUUAUUUCAAGAUAUAAUUAUCUUUUCUCAGUUGAAUCUAUUUUCCUUUGUAGCCUUGAAAGAUGAGACAUCUAAGUCAUACAACUAAAGAGAAUAGUUAAAAGAAAAUUUGUGAAUGAUGAUUGGAUUGAUGAUAUAUUAGAAUUUUAGGUCUCGAACAGCAAUGUCAAUGACUUUCAUUGUUUCACCUUUUAUUCUCAACAUGUUAUUUCAUAUUCUCUGUUUUUUGCAUAAAAAUAGAAGCAAGACUUUUAUUUUUAGCAAGAAAAUAGCUCAAAACAAAGACCCCCUUAAAACCUAACCAAGACCCACAAACAUUACUCAGUGGAAGUUUUUCCUGCUAUAUAUAUAUAUACUCUUUGUAGUUUACACCCUACCAGAAGUAUUUAUCAAUUUUUAUUGAAUUAUUUUAUUUUAACUUGUUUUAUUUUGUUUAAUUUUUAUUGUUUUCUUUGUAUAUGAACAUUAAUGUCUGAGUCACGUAGUGGAAAUAGCUCAAGCUCGGGAAAUUCAAUAGUUGCGUACCCAAUUUGUUACUAUGGAAUUAAAGCUUGUCAAAGAACUGCGCAUACGGAAGGAAAUGAGGGACAAUGGUUUUUUGGAUGCCAAAACUAUAUGUCUGGGAAGUCUUGUAGAUACUUUUGCUGGUAUGACCUUGAAAUACCAUUAUAUUGCCAAACUAUCAAAUGAUUACAACACUUAACUGGAAAAUUAAAAGUUAAAGUUGAAAAAAUCCAAGUAUCAAUAGAUAUCCAAACCGAGAAGCGCAAGAGGCAACUCGAGAAGGCUACCUAUGUUCUAACAAUUUUAUUGUCGUGGUUUUUCUUUUUUGGGUUACUUAUAUCCAAUUGUGUUUGGUUCAAAGGAAAAUGUUAAUGUUGUAAUGGAAGACAUCAACUUUUAUAGUCUAUUUGUAUGUCUCUUUGUAUUUGUUGAGAUUUUGAAUAUUUUCAUGUAUGUGGAAGCUCUUUGUAUUUUGUGGAAACUCUUUGUAUUUAUUGAGACUUUCAAUACAAAACUUGUAUUUUAAGUGUUUGUUUUUAGUAAAAGAGAA
Long non-coding RNA from Carya illinoinensis, 2016 nucleotides. RefSeq lists it as uncharacterized. Lineage: Eukaryota; Viridiplantae; Streptophyta; Magnoliopsida; Fagales; Juglandaceae. The record is from RefSeq and is a predicted model, not a curated record. The transcript has 3 exons.